This 741-nucleotide long non-coding RNA is filed under the name Drosophila guanche. Lineage: Eukaryota; Metazoa; Arthropoda; Insecta; Diptera; Drosophilidae. The record is from RNAcentral.
UAUAAAUCCGUGCUGAUCUGGAGAUAUAAGUGAUUUGCAGAGAUGCUGCAAGUGCGGAGUUAAAAGUUUCUCGAACAUUUUAGGAAUAGCGGAUAACUUAGAUAUACCUCUAUAGUUUUUAGCGUCAGACUUGCUACCUUUCUUAUGGAGAGGAAUUAUAAAGGAUUCCUUCCAGGUGGGGGGAAAGCUAGAAGAAUGGAUAGAUAGAGUGAAUAGUUUAAGCAAAGGUCCGCAGAGAGACUCGGCACAGUACCUGAGUACACAGCCGGGAACUCCGUCAGGGCCCGGUGAGAAUACCGGCUUAACUAAUUGAAGUUCAUGAAGUAAGGAGCCUUCAUUUAACAAAGGGCAGAAAAUGCCAUUCGACCUUGGUAAACUAUAUGGAUACAUAUGACCUGGGUAGCUUUCCUGGGAAUAUGUGGUUUGAAAAAAUUUUGCAAAAAGAUCGGCGAUUGCCUGAUCAUUGUUUGCCGACAUAUUCAAAAAUGAUAGCGAGGAUGGAUGUGCGGACGUUCUACGCUUACUGUUUACGAAGCUGUAAAACUGUUUAGGGUCCUUUGAAAAACGUAUCCUGCAUCGAAGGAGGUAGUUCCUAUAGCAUUGAGCAUUUAGAACAGUGAAGUUUGACCGAGCUAUUAAGUAAUUAGAAAGAGAAGAGGGAGAACCAACUUCUUGAGAUUUUUUAAAUAGUCUUGAUUUUAGAUUUUUUAGACUGGAUAACUCUUUGGUGAACCNCAGAGG